Molecule: ribosomal RNA, 429 nt
Filed under: Pseudomonadota bacterium
Lineage: Bacteria; Pseudomonadati; Pseudomonadota
Description: Proteobacteria bacterium partial 16S ribosomal RNA
Rfam family: Bacterial small subunit ribosomal RNA
Source: RNAcentral
UGGGGAAUAUUGGACAAUGGGCGAAAGCCUGAUCCAGCCAUGCCGCGUGUGUGAAGAAGGUCUUCGGAUUGUAAAGCACUUUAAGUUGGGAGGAAGGGCAGUAAGCGAAUACCUUGCUGUUUUGACGUUACCGACAGAAUAAGCACCGGCUAACUCUGUGCCAGCAGCCGCGGUAAUACAGAGGGUGCGAGCGUUAAUCGGAUUUACUGGGCGUAAAGCGUGCGUAGGCGGCUAAUUGAGUCGGAUGUGAAAUCCCCGGGCUUAACUUGGGAAUUGCAGUCGAUACUGGUUAGCUAGAGUGUGGGGGAGGAUGGUAGAAUUCCAGGUGUAGCGGUGAAAUGCGUAGAGAUCUGGAGGAAUACCGAUGGCGAAGGCAGCCAUCUGGCCUAACACUGACGCUGAGGUACGAAAGCAUGGGGAGCAAACAGG